AUCGGAGAGCAGCAGACAUGGCCCUGCGCUACCCCAUGGCGGUGGGCCUCAACAAGGGCCACAAGGUGACGAAGAACGUCAGCAAGCCGAGACACAGCCGGCGCCGCGGGCGCCUCACCAAGCACACCAAGUUCGUGCGGGACAUGAUCCGGGAGGUGUGCGGCUUCGCGCCCUACGAGCGGCGCGCCAUGGAGUUGCUCAAGGUGUCCAAGGACAAGCGCGCACUUAAGUUCAUCAAGAAGAGGGUGGGCAUGCACAUCCGUGCCAAGAGAAAGCGGGAGGAGCUGAGCGAAGUGCUGGCAGCCAUGAGGAAGGCGACCAAGAAGGAUUGAUGAACCCUCCCCCAAUAAAAGAUCGUUC
Mus pahari (shrew mouse) is the source of this 360-nucleotide RNA transcript. It is a transcript of the gene named 60S ribosomal protein L36 pseudogene, with no coding region annotated. Lineage: Eukaryota; Metazoa; Chordata; Mammalia; Rodentia; Muridae. The transcript has 2 exons. The record is from RefSeq and is a predicted model, not a curated record.